AUUGAACGCUGGCGGCAGGCCUAACACAUGCAAGUCGAACGGUAACAGGAAGAAGCUUGCUUCUUUGCUGACGAGUGGCGGACGGGUGAGUAAUGUCUGGGAAACUGCCUGAUGGAGGGGGAUAACUACUGGAAACGGUAGCUAAUACCGCAUAAUGUCGCAAGACCAAAGAGGGGGUCCUUCGGGCCUCUUGCCAUCGGAUGUGCCCAGAUGGGAUUAGCUAGUAGGUGGGGUAACGGCUCACCUAGGCGACGAUCCCUAGCUGGUCUGAGAGGAUGACCAGCCACACUGGAACUGAGACACGGUCCAGACUCCUACGGGAGGCAGCAGUGGGGAAUAUUGCACAAUGGGCGCAAGCCUGAUGCAGCUAUGCCGCGUGUAUGAAGAAGGCCUUCGGGUUGUAAAGUACUUUCAGCGGGGAGGAAGGGAGUAAAGUUAAUACCUUUGCUCAUUGACGUUACCCGCAGAAGAAGCACCGGCUAACUCCGUG
Molecule: ribosomal RNA, 490 nt
Filed under: uncultured bacterium
Lineage: Bacteria
Description: partial 16S ribosomal RNA
Rfam family: Bacterial small subunit ribosomal RNA
Source: RNAcentral